This 1315-nucleotide ribosomal RNA is filed under the name metagenome. RNAcentral describes it as "bacterial LSU rRNA". It matches the Rfam family "Bacterial large subunit ribosomal RNA", at positions 1594 to 2925 of the family's 2925-position model. The record is from RNAcentral.
ACGUGAGCUGACUGUCAAGAAAAGCCGCUGUUGUUUGCAGGAUACCCGUACCGUAAACCGACACAGGUGGAUGAGGAGAGAAUCCUAAGGCCGACGGGAGAAGCAUUGUUAAGGAACUCGGCAAAAUGACUCCGUAACUUCGGGAGAAGGAGUGCCAGUAAGAUGGCCGCAGAGAAUUGGCCCAAGCAACUGUUUAGCAAAAACACAGGUCUAUGCAAAACCGAAAGGUGAGGUAUAUGGGCUGACGCCUGCCCGGUGCUGGAAGGUUAAGGGGAGAGGUUAGCGCAAGCGAAGCUUUGAACUUAAGCCCCAGUAAACGGCGGCCGUAACGAUAACGGUCCUAAGGUAGCGAAAUUCCUUGUCGGGUAAGUUCCGACCCGCACGAAAGGCGUAAUGAUUUGGGCACUGUCUCAACAAUGCACCCGGUGAAAUUGAAAUACCAGUGAAGAUGCUGGUUACCUGCGCCAGGACGGAAAGACCCCAUGGAGCUUUACUCCAGCUUGAUACUGGGAUUCGGUAUUGCAUGUACAGGAUAGGUGGGAGGCUAGGAAAUGGUAACGCCAGUUGCCAUGGAGCCAAUGUUGGGAUACCACCCUUGCAGUACUGGGUUUCUAACCAGCAGCCGUGAUCCGGCUGGGGGACAAUGUCAGGUGGGGAGUUUGACUGGGGCGGUCGCCUCCGAAAGGGUAUCGGAGGCGCUCAAAGGUUCCCUCAGAAUGGUUGGAAACCAUUCGAAGAGUGCAAAGGCAGAAGGGAGCUUGACUGCGACACCGACGGGUGGAGCAGGUACGAAAGUAGGACUUAGUGAUCCGGUGGUAUAAAGUGGGAUUGCCAUCGCUCAACGGAUAAAAGCUACCCUGGGAUAACAGGCUUAUCACUCCCAAGAGUUCACAUCGACGGAGUGGUUUGGCACCUCGAUGUCGGCUCAUCGCAUCCUGGGGCUGAAGUAGGUCCCAAGGGUUGGGCUGUUCGCCCAUUAAAGCGGUACGCGAGCUGGGUUCAGAACGUCGUGAGACAGUUCGGUCCCUAUCCGGCGUGGGCGUAAGAUAUUUGAGAGGAGCUGUCCUUAGUACGAGAGGACCGGGAUGGACUGGCCGCUGGUGUAUCUGUUGUCUUACCAAAGGCAUAGCAGAGUAGCCAAGCCGGGAAGGGAUAAACGCUGAAGGCAUCUAAGCGUGAAGCCCCCCUCAAGAUGAGAUAUCUCAUAACGUCAAGUUAGUAAGACCCCUUGAAGACGACGAGGUAGAUAGGGCAGAGGUGGAAGUGUGGUAACACAUGGAGCUGACUGUUACUAAUAGGUCGAGGGCAUAACCAA